RNAcentral lists this ribosomal RNA (483 nucleotides) under uncultured bacterium. RNAcentral's name for it is "partial 16S ribosomal RNA". It matches the Rfam family "Bacterial small subunit ribosomal RNA", at positions 30 to 507 of the family's 1533-position model. The record is from RNAcentral.
AUUGAACGCUGGCGGCAGGCCUAACACAUGCAAGUCGAGCGGAUGAAGGGAGCUUGCUCCUGGAUUCAGCGGCGGACGGGUGAGUAAUGCCUAGGAAUCUGCCUGGUAGUGGGGGAUAACGUCCGGAACGGGCGCUAAUACCGCAUACGUCCUGAGGGAGAAAGUGGGGGAUCUUCGGACCUCACGCUAUCAGAUGAGCCUAGGUCGGAUUAGCUAGUUGGUGGGGUAAAGGCCUACCAAGGCGACGAUCCGUAACUGGUCUGAGAGGAUGAUCAGUCACACUGGAACUGAGACACGGUCCAGACUCCUACGGGAGGCAGCAGUGGGGAAUAUUGGACAAUGGGCGAAAGCCUGAUCCAGCCAUGCCGCGUGUGUGAAGAAGGUCUUCGGAUUGUAAAGCACUUUAGGUUGGGAGGAAGGGCAGUAAGUUAAUACCUUGCUGUUUUGACGUUACCAACAGAAUAAGCACCGGCUAACUUCGUG